GACGAACGCUGGCGGCGUGCUUAACACAUGCAAGUCGAACGGAAAGGCCCUGCUUUUGUGGGGUGCUCGAGUGGCGAACGGGUGAGUAACACGUGAGUAACCGGCCCUUGACUUUGGGAUAACUUCAGGAAACUGGGGCUAAUACCGGAUAGGAGCUCCUGCUGCAUGGUGGGGGUUGGAAAGUUUCGGCGGUUGGGGAUGGACUCGCGGCUUAUCAGCUUGUUGGCGGGGUAGUGGCUUACCAAGGCUUUGACGGGUAGCCGGCCUGAGAGGGUGACCGGCCACAUUGGGACUGAGAUACGGCCCAGACUCCUACGGGAGGCAGCAGUGGGGAAUAUUGCACAAUGGGCGGAAGCCUGAUGCAGCAACGCCGCGUGCGGGAUGACGGCCUUCGGGUUGUAAACCGCUUUCGCCUGUGACGAAGCGUGAGUGACGGUAAUGGGUAAAGAAGCACCGGCUAACUACGUG
This 468-nucleotide ribosomal RNA is filed under the name uncultured bacterium. Its description in RNAcentral is "partial 16S ribosomal RNA". It matches the Rfam family "Bacterial small subunit ribosomal RNA", at positions 28 to 507 of the family's 1533-position model. The record is from RNAcentral.